GGUCCCAUGGGGUAGUGGUUAGCAGCUCAGACUCUGAAUCUGGUGACCCAAGUUCAAAUCUCGGUGGGACGU
Molecule: transfer RNA, 72 nt
Filed under: Hofstenia miamia
Lineage: Eukaryota; Metazoa; Xenacoelomorpha; Acoela; Hofsteniidae
Description: tRNA-Gln for anticodon CUG
Rfam family: tRNA
About the family: Transfer RNA (tRNA) molecules are approximately 80 nucleotides in length. Their secondary structure includes four short double-helical elements and three loops (D, anti-codon, and T loops).
Source: RNAcentral